This is a long non-coding RNA of Chrysoperla carnea, 75 nucleotides long. RefSeq lists it as uncharacterized. NCBI's taxonomy places the organism in Eukaryota, Metazoa, Arthropoda, Insecta, Neuroptera, Chrysopidae. The transcript has 4 exons. The record is from RefSeq and is a predicted model, not a curated record.
UCUCUUCUCUCUAAGAAAACUCCCAGCUAUUUCACUUCGUUUGCCUGUGGAAAACUGACAUUGUUCAUUUUUACA